Molecule: long non-coding RNA, 354 nt
Filed under: Nicotiana benthamiana
Lineage: Eukaryota; Viridiplantae; Streptophyta; Magnoliopsida; Solanales; Solanaceae
Description: long non-coding RNA (NBEN_LNC038762)
Source: RNAcentral
CCUUUUUACCCAUUUUGAAAUAUAAUAGAUGCCUUGUGUCCUGAAUUUGAUGCUCCACUUGCUUAGGACUUGAAAUAUAAUCUGAAACCAAGAGAUUUUAUCAUUUAUGUCGAUUUGGUUGGCUUCAUGUUCAAACUAAAAUGAUCAAACGAUUUUAAGUGAUAGUGGUAAAGAAAAGCUAUGAGCAAGAGACAUAAGUUAACCAUGGUAAAAGUGUCUUACACGUACUUGUAUAAAUUUACUUGAAGCAGGUGAAGGAUUUGCAUUGAUCUCUGGAACUAGCAUGGCAGCACCCCAUAUAGCAGGAAUAUCAGCGCUUAUCAAGCAGCACCACCCUCAUUGGAGCCCUGCUGC